RNAcentral lists this ribosomal RNA (440 nucleotides) under uncultured bacterium. RNAcentral's name for it is "partial 16S ribosomal RNA". It matches the Rfam family "Bacterial small subunit ribosomal RNA", at positions 338 to 795 of the family's 1533-position model. The record is from RNAcentral.
CCUACGGGUGGCAGCAGUGGGGAAUAUUGCACAAUGGGGGAACCCCUGAUGCAGCGACGCCGCGUGAGUGAAGAAGUAAUUCGGUAUGUAAAGCUCUAUCAGCAGGGAAGAAAAUGACGGUACCUGAGUAAGAAGCCCCGGCUAACUACGUGCCAGCAGCCGCGGUAAUACGUAGGGGGCAAGCGUUAUCCGGAUUUACUGGGUGUAAAGGGAGCGUAGACGGCAGUGCAAGUCUGGAGUGAAAGGCGGGGGCUCAACCCCCGGACUGCUCUGGAAACUGUACGGCUGGAGUGCAGGAGAGGUAAGUGGAAUUCCUAGUGUAGCGGUGAAAUGCGUAGAGAUUAGGAGGAACACCAGUGGCGAAGGCGGCUUACUGGACUGUAACGGACGUUGAGGCUCGAAAGCGUGGGGAGCAAACAGGAUUAGAUACCCCAGUAGUC